GAGAAUGACAACACAAACUUUUCUUUUGGUUGGGAGAAUGAAUUUUUGAUUUGUGUGGUAGAGGGGCUAGGAUAAUGACUUUGAAAAUUAAGUGAUUUUAUAAGCUGUGAUAUGAAAAGAAAAUGGAAGAAUGACAAAACAAAUUUUUUAUUGGGAGAAUAAAUUGUUAAAUUGUGUGGUAGAGAGGUUAAGAAAAUUACAAAUUUAUCCUUAUUUAUUUUGGUGGGAAAAUUGACUUGAGCAGUAAGGCUACAAUCCACCCUGAGCUUUGUCAAUAGGCGGGAAAUAAGUAGGGUAGAAUCGCCAAGACUUAAAGUGAUUUUAGUAAGUCAUCGAUUUCGAGGGGGGGGGGGGGGUUGGGCAGCUGAACUGGUUUGUUGAGCUAAGGUUGAAUGAGUCAAAGGACUGAGGUUCGAACCUGAGAGGAGAAAAUGCUAAUAUACUAACAACUAAUUAAUAACAUUUGCCAAUAAAAAAAAUAAAUCAUUGAUUUCUGUGGCAGAGAGGUUAGGAGAAUUAUAGAUUUAUCUAUAUGCGUUCCGACAGAAAAAUUGAUUUGAAGACUUGUGAUUUUAUAUAUAUUAAGAUAAGAUAU
RNAcentral lists this long non-coding RNA (595 nucleotides) under Medicago truncatula (barrel medic). RNAcentral describes it as "long non-coding RNA (MTRU_LNC006744)". The record is from RNAcentral. Lineage: Eukaryota; Viridiplantae; Streptophyta; Magnoliopsida; Fabales; Fabaceae.